Molecule: unclassified non-coding RNA, 232 nt
Filed under: Hevea brasiliensis (rubber tree)
Lineage: Eukaryota; Viridiplantae; Streptophyta; Magnoliopsida; Malpighiales; Euphorbiaceae
Source: RNAcentral
AGGAAAUUUGCAUAGCUUUCAUUGAUAGCUUUAUAUCUUUUCACCUUUGCUUAACCUUUCGGGUUCUACGCUGAGACAACCAAUAUGAAUGAAAUUCCAUAGGUAAGGUCCCAUCAAAAUUUUCUAGGCAUGGAAGCAAAGUACUUGCCCACAUGGACCAUUUUGCUACCCAAGUGCUUAAACACCCUUUGCUCUUGCGGAGCAAAUAUUGCCUUGCCUUGAACAUAUCCAU